Molecule: ribosomal RNA, 541 nt
Filed under: uncultured bacterium
Lineage: Bacteria
Description: partial 16S ribosomal RNA
Rfam family: Bacterial small subunit ribosomal RNA
Source: RNAcentral
UGGGGAAUUUUGGACAAUGGGCGAAAGCCUGAUCCAGCAAUGCCGCGUGUGUGAAGAAGGCCUUCGGGUUGUAGAGCACUUUUGUCCGGAAAGAAAUGGCUCUGGUUAAUACCUGGGGUCGAUGACGGUACCGGAAGAAUAAGGACCGGCUAACUACGUGCCAGCAGCCGCGGUAAUACGUAGGGUCCAAGCGUUAAUCGGAAUUACUGGGCGUAAAGCGUGCGCAGGCGGUUGUGCAAGACCGAUGUGAAAUCCCGAGCUUAACUUGGGAAUUGCAUUGGUGACUGCACGGCUAGAGUGUGUCAGAGGGGGGUAGAAUUCCACGUGUAGCAGUGAAAUGCGUAGAGAUGUGGAGGAAUACCGAUGGCGAAGGCAGCCCCCUGGGAUAACACUGACGCUCAUGCACGAAAGCGUGGGGAGCAAACAGGAUUAGAUACCCUGGUAGUCCACGCCCUAAAACGAUGUCAACUAGUUGUUGGGGAUUCAUUUCCUUAGUAACGUAGCUAACGCGUGAAGUUGACCGCCUGGGGAGUACGGUCGC